GAGUUUAACUAUAUACCUUCUCUUUCUCCACUUGUUUUAAUUCUUUGUCUGUGGUCAGAUAGAAGACUUCUACACCAAGAACAAUUUUUUUUCCUUCAGAGACAUAAAAAGUUUAUGAAGAUCAUAAAGUGGGAGAAAUUGUGGAAACUCGAAUCAAGAUUAUUGUAGGCCCACUCAUUGGGGAGCCCUUGUUCUGUGAUAUCAUCACUGUUCUGCACCUAACAUCUCUUAGAAGACACAUAAGAAUCAUGGGAGAACAUAAUCAGACAGAAUCGUCAGUGAAGCAAGUGUCGAGCCUAAAUAUUAUGUUCUCCAGCUUCCUAUGAGCUUCCCAUCAGUACCACGACUCUAUCUCCAUAAUACAAGCCUGCACAUGAGAUUUUACUAUAUGUGAUUAAAUAACACAAUAUUUUAAAGAAAUAUUGACUGGAUAGCAAUUUUCUAC
RNAcentral lists this long non-coding RNA (445 nucleotides) under Rattus norvegicus (Norway rat). RNAcentral describes it as "long non-coding RNA NONRATT033382". The record is from RNAcentral. Lineage: Eukaryota; Metazoa; Chordata; Mammalia; Rodentia; Muridae.